AGAAGUGGCCAGCUUGAACUAAACCUUCCAGAGCAAAAUCUUUUCAGUUGGUGUAAACUGAAGAGUGUGAGAGAGGUAAGGUUAGGGAAUAAGAGUAAAGGUGAGGCUUCAUCUUCAUUUUCAUUGGCAACAAUUGCCUCCACUCCACUCGCCGAUAUAUAUAGGUCCUCAAGUUGCACAAGAGCACUCGCCACAGAAACCGGAAAAAGGUUUAGCAAUUUGUUGCAUCCCCUUACUUGUAGUUUCCUUAAUUUGGAAAAUGAAUUUGCUGGAAGUUGGUCAAGACACAAUGCUCUUAUAUUAUCUAGUCCGUCUGUAUACAAGGACUCCAAGCCUGGGAGUGCAACCUGUGCAAUUGAUGAUCCCUUUGGUUAAUAAUAUAUACAUAUACAUUCCUAAUAAUUAGACACAUGUAAAUAGAAAAUAAGAGGUUAAAGGAGAAUAUAUCAGUAUAACAAAGCACAAAAUUUAAACUAGAUUGAAGAAGAUCAAGAAAGAGAAAAGAAAAGAAAAGAAAAGCAAAAGCCUCUAGAUUCUGAAAAUCCAAUGAAACUUAAAAAAAAAAAAAAAAAAACCUCCAAAUUUUCCUUUCGAAAUGAGGUAAUAAGAGGAUUUUUUUUUCUUUUUUCUUUGCCUCUCUUUCAAAUUUGAUUAACUUCUAUGGAAAACGGAUUUUUUUUUUUUAAACUUUUAUAUAAGAUACAAGUAAUACUUUAAAAAAAUUGUGAUAUCUAAAAAAAUUUUUGAAAAAUUAUUUUUAAAGAAAUAAGGUAAAUCUAUACUUUUUGUAUAAGAUGUUCUACCUUUAUAUACAAAUUUCUGAUUUUUUUUUUUUUUGUUUAAAGUGUACCCAAAUGGACACUAAACUAUCUAGUUUUUAAUUUUUACAACUUUGAAUUGGAUUUUAUGGUAAACUAAUUUACAAUAUAAUGCAUGGAUUAAUCUUAGAUUCCAUCUAUAAAUUUUUUUAAUUAUCUAAUAUAAGACAUUAUAUUAAUGGAUUGAAUUAAUAAUGUAAUUAUAAUUUAUUUGGCAACUUUCUUCCUUCAAAUAUAUAAAAUGAAAACAAAUUUUAAAAAAUAAAAAAAUGAAAAAAAUAAAAAAUAAAAAAAGCUUUUUUUUAUAGUUUUUCUAAGAUGAUUUUGUAGAGUACUGUUAGUUUAUAGUUUUAACUUUAUUUCAUUUUACUUUUAACUUUAUUUAUUGAGGUAUGUUCUUUUUUGAAACUCUUGUUUAGAUUUUAUGGAGAAUAUAAAUUUUAAGAAAAAAAUGAAAUUUAAAUAAGAUAAGAAUAAAGAAACGCAAAAGGUGGAUGAAUUUUUUUAAGGCAAAAGUUUGAUAAUUGACACUAUCAUGUAAGAGGUGAAAUUUUUAAAUACUCAAUAAAGGCUAGUGAAACUUAAAUUAAAAGCAUGACAUGUACCUUUUUGACCAAAAAGAGCGAUUAUUGAAUUUUGUUGUCAAGUUCACCUAUCAAACCUAUUUCUUGAAAUAGUAUCUCCAUUUUACCACAAUUGAGCACUAUCAAUUUUUUUAAAAGUGCCCAUCUUGAAGUAAACCUUCUGAAGCAAAAUCUUUGGAGUUGGUGUAAAGUAUUGAGUAUGAGAGAGGUUAGUCUAGGGAAUAUUGCAUAUUAAUUCAAAUAAAACAUCAACAUUUUUUUUUUGUUAAAUUCUAAAUGAACACCACUAUAAAUUAAUGCAAUUUUGUAUGCUCAAUUAAAUAAACUUGUUCUUAAGGCAUCACAUGAAGUAUUUAAGUCUAAUUAAUAUUAAUUAAAAAUGAUUAUAUUAAAAAAAUCCAAAGUAAUUUAUUUUUAUCAUAAGUCAAGUAGGAUAAUUUUAUAAAUAAUUGGUUUUAGUUUCUAGUAUUCUUGUACACAAUCGCUAUGUUUGUUGCACCUCCAAAAAAUCUACUACUUGUAAUUAAUUGUAUAUUAUUCUCCAUAUUCACAUCAGUUUAUCUAGUAUGAUUAAUUUAGCAACAAAAUAUAAGUUUACUUAAAAUCGCUUUAAAUUCCUAUGAUAUUAAUGUUUAAGAUUAAAACAAUGUAACAUUAGCUAAAAAGAUUAAGAUCUAUAAUGUAACAUAUAAAAUUUAGAAAAUUCAAGGAAGGGUAAACUCGCACCUGUUCUACCCAGAAGAGUGGCUCAAGUUCACAUUCCAAACUUAUUUGUUGAAAGAGUAUCUCCACUUUAUCACAAUCAAGCACUUCCAAUUUUUUCAAAAGUGGCCAGCUUGAACUAAACCUUCCAGAGCAAAAUCUUUUGAGUUGGUGUAAAUCACGGAGUGUGAGAGAGGUAAGGUUAGGGAAUAAAAAUAAAGGUGCUGCUUCAUCUUCAUUUUCAUUGGUAACAAUUGCCUCCACUUCACCCCCCGAUAUAUGUAGGUCCUCAAGUUGCAUAAGAGCACUUGCCAUAGAAAGCGGAAAAAGAUUUAGCAAUUUGUUGCAUUUACUUACUCGCAAUUUCCUUAAUUUGGAAAAUGAAUUUGCUGGAAGUUGGUCAGGCCACAAUGCUCUUAUAUUAUGUAGGUUGCAUACAAACAAGGACUCCAAGCUUGGGAAUGCAACCUGUGCAAUUGAUGAUCCCUUUGGUUAAUAAUAUAUACAUAUACAUUCCUAAUAAUUAGAUACAUGUAAAUAGAAAAUAAGAGGUUAAAGGAAAAUAUAUCAGUAUAACAAAGCACAAAAUUUAAACUAGAUUGAAGAAAAUCAAGAAAGAGAAAAGAAAAAGCCUCUAGAUUUUGAAGAUCCAAUGAAACUUAAAAAAAAAAAAAAAAAAAAACCUCCAAAUUUUCCUUUCGAAAUGAGGUAAUAAGAGGAUUUUUUUUUUUCUUUUUUCUUUGCCUCUGUUUCAAAUUUGAUUAACUUCUAUGGAAAACGUAUUUUAACUAGCUAUGGAAAACGGAUUUUUUUUUUUGAACUUUUAUAUAAGAUACAAGUAAUACUUAAAAAAAAUUGUGAUAUCUAAAAAAAUUUUUGAAAAAUUAUUUUUAAAGAAAUAAGGUAAAUCUAUACUUUUUGUAUAAGAUGUUCUACCUUUAUAUACAAAUUUCUGUUUUUUUUUUUUUAAAGUGUAUCCAAAUGGACACUAAACUAUCUAGUUUUUAAUAUUUACAACUUUGAAUUGGAUUUUAUGGUAAACUAAUUUACAAUAUAAUGCAUGGAUUCAUCUUAGAUUCCAUCUAUAAAUUUUUUUAAUUAUCUAAUAUAAGACAUUAUAUUAAUGGGUUGAAUUAAUAAUGUAAUUUUAAUUUAUUUGGCAACUUUCUUCCUUCAAAUAUAUAAAAUGCAAAUAAAUUUUAAAAAAUAAAAAAAGCUUUUUUUAUAGUUUCUCUAAGAUGAUUUUGUAGAGUACUGCUAGUUUAUAGUUUUAACUUUAUUUCAUUUUACUUUUAACUUUAUUUAUUGAGGUAUGUUCUUUUUUGAAUCUCUUGUUUAGAUUUUAUAGAGAAUAUAAAUUUUAAGAAAGAAAAUGAAAUUUAAAUAAGAUAAGAAUAAAGAAACGCAAAAGGUGGAUGAUUUUUUUUAAGGCAAAAGUUUGAUAAUUGGCACUAUCAUGUAACGGGUGAAAUUUUUAAAUACUCAACAAAGGCUAGUGAAAUUUAAAUUAAAAGCUUGACAUGUACCUUUUCGACCAAAAAGAGUGAUUGUCGAAUUUUGUUGUCAAGUUCACAUUUCAAACCUACUUCUUGAAAUAGUAUCUCCACUUCACAAUUGAGCACUAUCAAUUUUUUUAAAAGUGCCCAUCUUGAAGUAAACCUUCUGAAGCAAAAUCUUUGGAGUUGGUGUAAAGUAUUGAGUAUGAGAGAGGUUAGUCUAGGGAAUAUUGCAUAUUAAUUCAAAUAAAACAUCAACAUUUUUUUUUUGUUAAAUUCUAAAUGAACACCACUAUAAAUUAAUGCGAUUUUGUAUGCUCAAUUAAAUAAACUCGUUCUUAAGGCAUCACAUGAAGUAUUUAAGUCUAAUUAAUAUUAAUUAAAAAUGAUUAUAUUAAAAAAAUCCAAAGUAAUUUAUUUUUGUCAUAAGUCAAGUAGGAUAAUUUUAUAAAUAAUUGGUUUUAGUUUCUAGUAUUCUUGUACACAAUCGCUAUGUUUGUUGCACCUCCAAAAAAUCUACUACUUGUAAUUAAUUGUAUAUUAUUCUCCAUGUUCACAUCAGUUUAUGUAGUAUGAUUAAUUUAGCAACAAAAUAUAAGUUUAUUUAAAAUCGCUUUAAAUUCCUAUGAUAUUAAAGUUUACGAUUAAAACAUUGUAACAUUAGCUAAAAAGAUUAAGAUCUAUAAUGUAACAUAUAAAAUUUAGAAAAUUCAAGGAAGGGUAAACUCGCACCUGUUCUACCCAGAAGAGUGGCUCAAGUUCACAUUCCAAACCUAUUUGUUGAAAGAGUAUCUCCACUUUAUCACAAUUGUCCACUUCUAAUUUUUUAAGAAGUGACCAGCUUGAACUAAACCUUCCAGAGCAAAAUCUUUUGAGUUGGUGUAAAUAACGGAGUGUGAGAGAGGUAAGGUUAGGGAAUAAGAGUAAAGGUGCUGCUUCAUCUUCAUUUUCAUUGGCAACAAUUGCCUCCACUCCACUCCAGGAUAUCCAUAGGUCCUCAAGUUGCACAAGAGCACUCGCCACAGAAAGCGGAAAAAGAUUUAGCAAUUUGUUGCAUAGAAUUACUUCCAAUUUCCUUAAUUUGGAAAAUGAAUUUGCUGGAAGUUGGUCAGGCCGCAAUGCUCUUAUAUUAUCCAGUGUGC
RNAcentral lists this long non-coding RNA (4742 nucleotides) under Vitis vinifera (wine grape). RNAcentral describes it as "long non-coding RNA (VVIN_LNC005009)". Lineage: Eukaryota; Viridiplantae; Streptophyta; Magnoliopsida; Vitales; Vitaceae. The record is from RNAcentral.